Long non-coding RNA from Cyprinus carpio (common carp), 1189 nucleotides. The record is from Ensembl. NCBI's taxonomy places the organism in Eukaryota, Metazoa, Chordata, Actinopteri, Cypriniformes, Cyprinidae.
GGGCAAUAUGUAAUGAAUACUUAAUCAUGCUGAAAACUGCUGAGCAUAAAGGACAGAGUGUCCUUCUCUGUCAAGCAUAUCAACAUGGAUAGGAAAAUAAAAUAAAAUACAGUCACAACAAAUGUGUUAUACAACAAAUAAUCAUAAACAAAUAAAUCACAAAUAAUUAAUGAUUUAAUGAAGAGCUAUGUAUUCUGAAGAAACAUAUAUCAUAUGUUUAUCAAAGAUAUCAAAGAAAUCAACUGUGGAUGCAACAUCCCAUUAUUCUAUACUGUUGACAAAUAUUUCCAAAAUACACUCUGGGACAGAGAGGCAUAAUGUCCUAUCCAGAAUAAAUAUCUGUCUGUCUGUCUUUCUGUGGGUGUUAGAACAGCUGCACACUCCACUCUCUCUCCCUUAUUGACAGUGAUGGAUGGGAGAGGCAGGGAAGGUGUUAGUGAGAGAUGAGAGAGAAAGCAAGGAGAAAAAGCAAAUGGAGAAGAAUUCUGAAGUUGCACAGGAAUGAUUUUACUUUGUAGUGCUGACAAGACUGUACAAGCUUCAAUGACUGGAUCACUAACAGGCAGGGCAGCGAAGAGAAACAUUUUGGAUAGGAGAAAAAAAAAAAAAAAAAAAACCUUGGUAUAUAUUUUACAAGAUUAAAAGGCUAGGGUUGUGAUUAUUUUGUAUCAAAAUAUAUGCUAAUAUCUAUUUUGGCAUGAAAACGGAUUCAGUCUGCUUGGUGUGAAUUCCAUAAACUGACUGGAACAUUCAGAGCUGAUUGAAACUGAUCAGGAUCGUCUUUCCUGAAGCAAGUAGAACAUUAGCCAGAUGUAAGUGCUUAAUCUCUCUGACCUGUUUCCCAAAAGCAUUGCUAUUUGAGUAGCUUGUAAAAGCAUUUGUAAAUUAAUGAGAGCCUCUGAGCAUUUCUUAGCCCUUUACAUGCAACUUAAAUAGAUCUUUUCUUGAAUCUUCCAUAGUUUAUGACAGGCAAAUUGACACUUCAUGAAUAAUAUUAAUGCAUUUUGAGCAUUGUAAAGCCAAUGCCCCAAUGAGUAACUACAGUAACUAAGAAAACCAGGACUGUGCCCGAAAUUAAAUACUUCCCUACUUUAUAGUAUGUGAAAAAACAAUAUGCCAAAAGAUUAGUUUCCAAAUUCACAGUAUUCAAAAAAAUAAAUAAAAUAAAAUAAAAUAAAAUAAAAUAAUA